Molecule: non-coding RNA, 66 nt
Organism: Ictidomys tridecemlineatus (thirteen-lined ground squirrel)
Lineage: Eukaryota; Metazoa; Chordata; Mammalia; Rodentia; Sciuridae
Source: Rfam
AGAGACACUUGGGAACCUUUGUGAUGUCACACAGAGAAGUCACAGCGCAGCACCUGAGGGGUCUAU